This is a long non-coding RNA of Clupea harengus (Atlantic herring), 302 nucleotides long. RefSeq lists it as uncharacterized. NCBI's taxonomy places the organism in Eukaryota, Metazoa, Chordata, Actinopteri, Clupeiformes, Clupeidae. The record is from RefSeq and is a predicted model, not a curated record. The transcript has 3 exons.
UUUCUGUGAUGGUGAGGAAGAACCUAUGGAGAAAAAGGAGCAGGAGAUGAGCCUGGCUGAGCAAGAGGAACAUCCUGUCCCUGUGGAAAUAAGCACUGACUCAAGCAUCCCAAUACUGUCUGAAUUGGGAAAUAACGACCAAAUGGAGGACGAAGUGCAAAUUGGAAACAAGGAUCAGGGAGAGGCCCAAGGAAUGAACUUGUUUGGCCAAGCAGAAACUCACUGCAACAACUUUUAUCACAAGAGAAGGGUGUCUGAUCUUACCUAUGAUCAAAUUAACACCUACCUCAGCUACAAUAACA